GGCGAGCCGGGGGCGAGUGGGCGGGGUAAUAGUGGGGUUGUAAGGGGUGUUCGGAAUGACUGGGCGGAAAGGGUGCGUAGGUGGCGUGGUAAGUCAGAUGUGAAAGCCCGGGGCUCAACCUCGGAAUUGCAUCCGAUACUGCCAUGCUCGAGUACUGAAGAGGUGACUAGAAUUCUAGGUGUAGCAGUGAAAUGCGUAGAUAUCUAGAGGAAUACCAAAGGCGAAGGCAGGUCACUGGGCAGUUACUGACACUGAGGCACGAAGGCCAGGGUAGCGAACGGGAUUAGAUACCCGGUAGUC
RNAcentral lists this ribosomal RNA (300 nucleotides) under uncultured Pyrobaculum sp. RNAcentral's name for it is "bacterial SSU rRNA". It matches the Rfam family "Bacterial small subunit ribosomal RNA", at positions 495 to 795 of the family's 1533-position model. The record is from RNAcentral. Lineage: Archaea; Thermoproteati; Thermoproteota; Thermoprotei; Thermoproteales; Thermoproteaceae.